Molecule: ribosomal RNA, 501 nt
Filed under: uncultured archaeon
Lineage: Archaea
Description: bacterial SSU rRNA
Rfam family: Archaeal small subunit ribosomal RNA
Source: RNAcentral
CGCUGGAAUGCAUCGAGAUUUAAAGCUCCGGCGCCUAAGGAUGGGUCUGCGGCCUAUCAGGUAGUAGUGGGUGUAGCGUACCUACUAGCCUACGACGGGUACGGGUUGUGAGAGCAAGAGCCCGGAGAUGGAUUCUGAGACACGAAUCCAGGCCCUACGGGGUGCAGCAGGCGCGAAAACUUUACAAUGCUGGCAACAGCGAUAAGGGAACCUCGAGUGCCAGGUUACAAAUCUGGCUGUCGAGAUGCCUAAAAAGCAUUUCAUAGCAAGGGCCGGGCAAGACCGGUGCCAGCCGCCGCGGUAACACCGGCGGCUCGAGUGGUAACCGUUAUUAUUGGGUCUAAAGGGUCUGUAGCCGGCCGGAUAAGUCUCUUGAGAAAUCUGGCAGCUUAACUGUCAGGCUUUCAGGAGAUACUGUCUGGCUCGAGGCCGGGAGAGGUGAGAGGUACUUCAGGGGUAGGGGUGAAAUCUUGUAAUCCUUGAAGGACCACCAGUGGCGAA